CUGCUUCUUGGUGCUAUUCUUGAGAAAGAACAUCCCAGUCCUGCAGGGACAGGGAAAGCUUGCAGGUUCACUUCAAGGCUUAAUACCACACCAAAGCCUUGUGUGCACUCCUGUGUUCAGGGCUGUUCUUGAGGCAAGCGGGAACUGAAGAUUAAUUACAGUGAAAUUGAGAGCUAGGAGACAAAGCCACGUUCUUCCAGCUGUUUCCAGAGUUGCUGUGGGUCUCUGUUAACAGAGCUGCCACCUUUGUUCCCCUGCAAGAACAGAGGUGAAGACUUUGGACUAAAGAAUCCUUAACCUAUUUCUUUUUGAGUACAUGAGAUACGCUGUGAAUCUGGAAAUCUGGAGACAGCUUUGUAUCUGGAGAAACUCACAGCAAGGCCAUGAGAAGAACCCUUGACAAAUGGGGCUUUAACACUGAGCCUGCAGGACAUCCCAGGAGCUGCACUGCAUCAGCAUGAAGUAUGCUGCAGGAUGAGAAAUCUUUCUGAAAGGCUGCUGACUGCCUAGGAAAAAUGAAUCUGUGUAUUGCUUUUUUUUUUUUUUUUUUUUUAAGGACUUCUACUUUAAUUGUCCUAGUCAUAGAGGAAGUUCUGCUAAAAAUGAAAUACUGAUUGAGGAAACUCAUCACUCUCAUACUGUGAGACCUAGUUUUCUCUCACAUGCUUUCAGUCAGAUUUAGAAGCACCUUUGGCUUACAAAAAAAAAAUUCUGCUGCUCCAUACCAGAACAGUGGCAGAUGGUCUUUGUUUAUCAAUGAAUCUUUUGUGUGCAAUAGUUGAGGGAUUUGCUUCCAGGGAAGAUAUGUCCCAAGACCUGUUCUUCUCAGAGACAGUGGCAGUGGCAGUCAGCCAUUUGCGUCCAUGGUUUUGCAAAAAGAUUUCUUGCCAAUCUGAUUCUUUUACCUUUCCUUUCCCCAAAGCUGUUUCAAUGUAGAAAAUUUUAAGAGAGGAAUUGCCAAAGUCAAAGAGAAGGCAAGGCUUGUGGGAUUUUAGGGGGCUGUGCUUACUUGUCCUUUCUUAACGGCAUUAAACUGUUGUUCUAAACAAAGAACAGGUACAGGAUUUGGAGCCAAAAUAUUCCAGUCGUGGUUGUACAUGAUUCUCCCCUGCUUCAGCUUCCCCCAGUCACUAAAGUUAACAGGGGAAGGGGGAACAGGAUCAAACAGCAAACAGUGCUGUUGGCAUGGAGUACAAAGAAAGAAAUGAAGCAUCCGAGUGGUUCACUCCAGGUUUUACCAUGCUCUGAUUUACCCUUUCUCCACUGCUCGCCCUAAGGCUUUGUGCCCCAGAUGCUGAGUACUGAAUACAUAAGCAACAACUCGUGCACUGAGGUGCUAUCUGAACACCAGCUGCUCUGCCCUGGCUUAUUUCUUGGAAUUUGCCCCAAUUUCUUCAUUAUCUCCUGCUGCUGCUGCAGGAGCAGAGGGGUGAGGGAUAGUGAAGGUAAGAGGAAGAACACGUGAAUGCCAGAGGAAAGCAGCAUGACCCAACACCACUGUUAGGAAAAAGAUCCUUUGCUCUAGAAGCUUGCCCACUGCCUGGAAUGCAUCUGGUAGGAUCUGUGGAUUAGCCCUGUUUCCCUGCUCAUACUGAGCACACACCCCAUGGCCCUGUGCAUCCAGGCAGGACACAGAGAUCCAUCAGCAUCCUUAAAGCACAGACUGCCUUGGGCUAACCAAUAAUGUUGUGUUUCUCCAACAUGCUCAGAAAUCACUUGCAAACACCCCUUUGUUCCACAUACUUCCAUACUUGUGCUGAAGCUGCAAAACUGACAGCACUCUGAGCCACAAAGGAGACAAGAGGAGACUGUGAUGCCGAGCAAGAGCCAGGAAAAUAACUUCUGCCACGCUGUUGGCUCUACAACAAACUUUAAUACUCUGGAAUUACACACUUCUACCCACAGCUGCUUACAGGUACCUUGGGGAAAGCUUUAAAGCAGAAGAGUUGCUAUAAAUCCCUUUUGUCCUCCUAGCUUGAUACUCCCCCCAAGUAUUUUUCACCUCUGUCCACAGAACAGGGAUUUACACAUAACACAGAAGUUACUCAGGAAUUCAGAUGUGUGCAAGAGAAGUCAUGCAACUGUGAUUAUUGUUCAGCAGGGGUUUUACCUUGUCCUCAAAGAAGGAAGGCCAGUACAGGACAGACACCAUCCCCUGUACCUCAUGGAGCAGUGGGGAAAAUACCCAUUUUUUGAGUGCCCAAAUCAAAACCCUGGAGAGUUUAUCUGGUGGAAAGAGUCAGCAAAAUAAACAGAUUUCCUUUCAGUUGCCACAGAAGAGUGCAGAAGUAUCCAGCAUUCAUCCUUUUUCCAGAAUUUAUCAUUUCUCCCCAAGUCCUGUGCCCUGUAUUUACAAGUUCCCAAAUCUCCUGACAGCCAGAUCUGUGCCCGUGCCUUGAGGCAGAAGUGGGAGAGGAGUUAUUCCAAAUUACAGAGAAAUUUCAACACCCUGGAGAUGCUGCCAAGCUUUUCCAUGUCUCACAGGCGCAGGAUGGAGCCAGGAGUUUCUGAGCUCCACGCAGUGUAUUCCUCAAAGGUUUGGAAAAUAGAUCUGAAAGGUGCCACACCACACAUUGCCACCACUUUUGUUGGGAUACUCACAGAGCUGCAGUUUAUAAGUUCAGCCAAGUGACGAUGAGGGGCAUGCUGAGGAUGGAAAUGUUGGGAACGCGGGUCCAGGCAGAGCUUUGGGCCAUGCUGGGGCUGCAGAGGUGGAACAAGCUGCCUUGAAAUUUGUUUUUUUGGGACUCCCUUCUCAGCAUCUCCCAGACAGCUGCUGCUUCCUUCUGGCAUUCCCAGAGCACUGUCAGGGUACAAGUGUGGAAUUCAUCCCAAUACCUGCAGCCAGGGAGACACCACACUGUCAGCCCCUUUGCACUCCCAGAGUGCAGGAUGCCAGGCAGAGCCUUGCUGCCCUGAGCCUGCCCUCUGAGCAGCAGCAACCCUUGUGUUUUGUGCAAGUUUCCCAGACUAUUCAUCCCCUCCAUCAUCUGCCAGAGCGUCUUGGCUAAAACUCCAAAUCUCAAAACACUGAAAUUAUUUAUUCCUUUUUUCUCCCCUCCCCGCUUUUCUCUGGAAGUCAAUAAAAUCCAUUAUUUUCCAUCAACAAA
This is a non-coding RNA of Lonchura striata (white-rumped munia), 3110 nucleotides long. The record is from RefSeq and is a predicted model, not a curated record. Lineage: Eukaryota; Metazoa; Chordata; Aves; Passeriformes; Estrildidae.